Molecule: non-coding RNA, 69 nt
Organism: Trichophaea hybrida
Lineage: Eukaryota; Fungi; Ascomycota; Pezizomycetes; Pezizales; Pyronemataceae
Source: the annotation of a GenBank genome assembly
GGGCCGGUAGUUCAGUUGGUAGAGCAUCCGUUUAGCAUAGGAAGGUCCUAGGUUCGACUAGCCAGCCCA